This is a long non-coding RNA of Hylaeus volcanicus, 447 nucleotides long. RefSeq lists it as uncharacterized. NCBI's taxonomy places the organism in Eukaryota, Metazoa, Arthropoda, Insecta, Hymenoptera, Colletidae. The record is from RefSeq and is a predicted model, not a curated record. The transcript is spliced from 4 exons.
GUCUAAAGGAGAUGCCACGAACGCGGUGAUGUUUAAUUGAAAUCGGUACGUUCUCGGUGUGCGUUUAAAUCUGGCUUUCGUCUCUUCCUGUCGCGCGUCAAGUUAAUAAUGCACGAGCUGGUUUGGGAUCUGGCUCAGAAGCAAGUCGUCGAUUCGAGUUACUUCGAUUUUUGAUCAGUUAAUUCUCGCGGCCGUUUUGAAAAGUCGAAGUAAAGCAGGGUGGAUGGCAUUUCAAACAGCGCGGGCCGCGCCGGAGGUUACACUUGCAAAUUUCAACUGUUUAUAUCUUGACAACGAAGCCUCGGAUCACAAAAUGGAGCAAACGGAUUCCACCGAUGCACAACAAAAGGAAGCCCCAAUUGACGAAUCCCGUAAAGUUGUCGAAGCCUGAACUCCAGGAGAAGAGACUAUCUCUAGGACGAUGGCAUCUGUAAGGAGAAAGAACGG